ACGGUCCUAAGGUAGCGAAAUUCCUUGUCGGGUAAGUUCCGACCUGCACGAAUGGCGUAAUGAUGGCCAGGCUGUCUCCACCCGAGACUCAGUGAAAUUGAACUCGCUGUGAAGAUGCAGUGUACCCGCGGCAAGACGGAAAGACCCCGUGAACCUUUACUAUAGCUUGACACUGAACAUUGAGCCUUGAUGUGUAGGAUAGGUGGGAGGCUUUGAAGUGUGGACGCCAGUCUGCAUGGAGCCGACCUUGAAAUACCACCCUUUAAUGUUUGAUGUUCUAACGUUGGCCCGUAAUCCGGGUUGCGGACAGUGUCUGGUGGGUAGUUUGACUGGGGCGGUCUCCUCCUAAAGAGUAACGGAGGAGCACGAAGGUUGGCUAAUCCUGGUCGGACAUCAGGAGGUUAGUGCAAUGGCAUAAGCCAGCUUGACUGCGAGCGUGACGGCGCGAGCAGGUGCGAAAGCAGGUCAUAGUGAUCCGGUGGUUCUGAAUGGAAGGGCCAUCGCUCAACGGAUAAAAGGUACUCCGGGGAUAACAGGCUGAUACCGCCCAAGAGUUCAUAUCGACGGCGGUGUUUGGCACCUCGAUGUCGGCUCAUCACAUCCUGGGGCUGAAGUAGGUCCCAAGGGUAUGGCUGUUCGCCAUUUAAAGUGGUACGCGAGCUGGGUUUAGAACGUCGUGAGACAGUUCGGUCCCUAUCUGCCGUGGGCGCUGGAGAACUGAGGGGGGCUGCUCCUAGUACGAGAGGACCGGAGUGGACGCAUCACUGGUGUUCGGGUUGUCAUGCCAAUGGCACUGCCCGGUAGCUAAAUGCGGAAGAGAUAAGUGCUGAAAGCAUCUAAGCACGAAACUUGCCCCGAGAUGAGUUCUCCCUGACUCCUUGAGAGUCCUGAAGGAACGUUGAAGACGACGACGUUGAUAGGCCGGGUGUGUAAGCGCAGCGAUGCGUUGAGCUAACCGGUACUAAUGAACCGUGAGGCUUAACCUU
Molecule: ribosomal RNA, 986 nt
Filed under: Escherichia coli
Lineage: Bacteria; Pseudomonadati; Pseudomonadota; Gammaproteobacteria; Enterobacterales; Enterobacteriaceae
Also listed under: 1 other name
Description: bacterial LSU rRNA
Rfam family: Bacterial large subunit ribosomal RNA
Source: RNAcentral